CAGUCGCCACGGUAAUACGUAGGUGGCAAUCGUUGUCCGGAAUUAUUGGGCGUAAAGGGCUCGCAGGCGGUUUCUUAAGUCUGAUGUGAAAGCCCCCGGCUCAACCGGGGAGGGUCAUUGGAAACUGGGAAACUUGAGUGCAGAAGAGGAGAGUGGAAUUCCACGUGUAGCGGUGAAAUGCGUAGAGAUGUGGAGGAACACCAGUGGCGAAGGCGACUCUCUGGUCUGUAACUGACGCUGAGGAGCGAAAGCGUGGGGAGCGAACAGGAUUAGAUACCCCAGUAGUCCCUGUCUCUUAUAC
This 301-nucleotide ribosomal RNA is filed under the name uncultured bacterium. RNAcentral describes it as "partial 16S ribosomal RNA". It matches the Rfam family "Bacterial small subunit ribosomal RNA", at positions 509 to 807 of the family's 1533-position model. The record is from RNAcentral.